Molecule: RNA transcript, 1894 nt
Organism: Anopheles merus
Lineage: Eukaryota; Metazoa; Arthropoda; Insecta; Diptera; Culicidae
Gene name: nudix hydrolase 8
Exons: 6
Source: RefSeq, a predicted model, not a curated record
ACACACAAACACACUUUCCGCACACGGCCCCCUGCAGAAAGGAUUGCGAAAUUCCUAUCAUCUGUGUGUGGUUGAACAGUCGUGGCCAAAAUGUACAUUGAAGCACAUGCUCACCCGUCUGUGACGAUGCUGCAAAGAUAAACAGAGCGCAUAACAUAGCCGUGAGUGCGUGUGAGAGCGUGUGCGUGCAUGUUUGUGUGUGUGUGUGGGUGUGGAUUCUAAUCAAAACAGUCGCGAAACAAUGGACCAAUUGUUACACCGUACAGCCUUGUGAGAAGAGUGAGCAUUGUUGUAUAGCCGGAAGCGAGCACCCGACCUGCUUCGGUGCGGCGCGAUUUGUUUGUUAAAGUCCGGGGCCGUUUUUGUCGCCAACUUCGACGCCGUACAUCAUCGGCAUCGUCGCCAUCGUGCUGUGAUCAUUCGGCGCGAGCGUGUUUUUUCGCACACUGCACCACUGGUGGACGGUUUAGCUCGGUGGCGGUCAAAAGUGUCGCGCAUACCCACCCCGCCCGCAUGUUCUGGAAGGCCGCGGAAGCUCUUGACGAAACGUAACUCCCGUUUGCGUGAAUAGUGUGCGUCCAUUGACGGGUCCGGUUGCCCGUAGAUACGGUUUCUACCUCCCAACCAACCCCUCCCCCAGCGGCUGUCCAACAUCCUUCGAGCCACACACACAAACACAGCCAGGGUCCGCCGGUCGCUAAAUGAGUAGGGCGCUUUUUGUCAUUCCGCAACGCUUGCUAUCAAUCGUCCGAUGUAACCAGGUUUCAUUGAUAACGCGCCAUUCGAGCAAAAUGAGCGAACAGCCGGAGAGUAACAUUGUGAAGGGUGCUGAUAGUUGGUUCAACAAAUACUCGGCGGUAGAAAGUUCUCCCGAGGGCACGUUCAAGGGGGUGAAGGACCGGUUCAAUGGCAUCACGGUGGACUCGAGCAUGGAAACCUGCAGCCCCGACUGUUUUCCAACCGUGCUGAAGCGAUCGCUCGACCAUUGGAUUCAAAGCAAAACCCGUGGCAUAUGGUUCAAAGUCCAUCUGUCCGCCGCCAGCUGGAUACCGGAACUAGUUAAUAAUGGAUUUCAAUUCCACCAUGCCAAAAAUUCGUUUGUGAUGCUGUACCGCUGGCUGCCGACGGACGAGUCGGCCAACAUUCCACCGUACUCGCACACGAUGGUCGGGGUCGGCGCGCUGGUAAUGAACGAGCGCCAGCAGGUGCUGGUGGUGAGCGAAAAUUACGCCCUCAUCGCUGGCUCCUGGAAGCUACCGGGAGGCUAUGUGGAACCAAAUGAGAAUUUCAUCGACGCCGCCAUCCGGGAGGUGGAGGAGGAGACGAACAUCCGGACGCGGUUCGAUUCGGUCGUCUCGAUACGGCACGCGCACGGCGCCGGUUUCGGCUGCUCCGAUCUGUACAUCGUCAUGGCGCUGACGCCGCUGACGGAGGCAAUUUCCAAGUGCAACCGGGAGAUUGCCAAAUGCGAAUGGAUGGAUGUGAACGAGUACCUGAACCACCCGAAGGUACACGAAACGAACCGCAACUUUGUGCGCACGUACCUGGAGUACAAGCGGCUCGGUGUGCGCAUCGACUGUGCCGAGGAGAUGCACCAGGUGCUGAAGAAGCGGUACAACGUGUACUCCGUUACCAAGGUGCCAGAGGUGGGCAGCAGCAGCAGCAGCAGUGAUAGCAGUAACAGUACCGGCACGCCGAAAUUAUAGCGUCCGAACGAGUACGAUGCCGCUGGCGACGGCGUGCCACCUCCAGGAAGGAUUCGAUGACCGACCGCUGGUCGGCGUGCGUGUUUGGCAGCCGAGCUGUGUGAUGUUUUGUGAGGAGAAAUUUCAUUGACAGAUACGUAAAACUAGCAGCUAGGAACUUGAAAAUUAAAUUUACCCUCAAUGUUAAC